RNAcentral lists this ribosomal RNA (737 nucleotides) under Coccocarpia erythroxyli. RNAcentral describes it as "LSU rRNA". It matches the Rfam family "Eukaryotic large subunit ribosomal RNA", at positions 707 to 1444 of the family's 3401-position model. The record is from RNAcentral. Lineage: Eukaryota; Fungi; Ascomycota; Lecanoromycetes; Peltigerales; Coccocarpiaceae.
CCCGGACGCGGAAUGAAAGUGAACGGAGGUGGGAACCCUCUCGGGGAGGCACCAUCGACCGAUCCGGAUGUCUUCAGAUGGAUUUGAGUAGGAGCAUAGCUGUUGGGACCCGAAAGAUGGUGAACUAUGCCUGAAUAGGGUGAAGCCAGAGGAAACUCUGGUGGAGGCUCGCAGCGGUUCUGACGUGCAAAUCGAUCGUCGAAUUUGGGUAUAGGGGCGAAAGACCAAUCGAACCAUCUAGUAGCUGGUUCCUGUCGAAGUUUCCCUCAGGAUAGCAGUAACGUUCCCCAGUUUUAUGAGGUAAAGCGAAUGAUUAGAGGCCUGGGGGUCGCAACGACCUUCACCUAUUCUCAAACUUUAAAUAUGUAAGAAGUCCCUGUUGCUUCGGUGAACGGGGACCGUCGAAUGGGUCGUUAUUAGUGGGCCAUUUUUGGUAAGCAGAACUGGCGAUGCGGGAUGAACCGAACGCGAGGUUAAGGUGCCGGAAUGCACGCUCAUCAGACACCACAAAAGGUGUUAAUUCAUCCAGACAGCCGGACGGUGGCCAUGGAAGUCGGAAUCCGCUAAGGAGUGUGUAACAACUCACCGGCCGAAUGAAUUAGCCCUGAAAAUGGAUGGCGCUCAAGCGUGCUACCCAUACCUCGCCGCCCGGGUGGAUCCGAUGCCCGGGCGAGUAGGCAGGCGUGGGGGUCCGUGACGAAGCCUCGGGGGUGACCCCGGGUCGAACGGCCCCAGUG